ACUACGUGGUGGCGGCGCCUCCGGCGGCGUACUACGCGCCGACUGCGCCACCGCCGCCGCCGGGCUACCCGACCAACUACGACGCGGGCAUGGGUGCCCCGCAGCCAGCGCAGACACGGAGCCGCGGUGACAAGGCCUUCUUGGAAGGAUGCUGUGCAGCCAUCUGCUGCUGUUGCCUCCUCGACAUGUGCUUCUAAGGACACAGAGAGCAGAAGUGUAUGAAAUCGUUUGCUGCAGUUAAUUGUAGUGUUUGCUUAUACAUCCAUGUGUUUUAGUGUGGAGUUGUAAGGGAGAGCCCGGUUGUGCCUAGAGAACUGUGUGAUGAUCAAUACCAGCUACAACUUAUAUUCUUGCUUA
Molecule: long non-coding RNA, 357 nt
Organism: Triticum dicoccoides
Lineage: Eukaryota; Viridiplantae; Streptophyta; Magnoliopsida; Poales; Poaceae
Exons: 2
Source: RefSeq, a predicted model, not a curated record